RNAcentral lists this transfer RNA (70 nucleotides) under Marmota monax (woodchuck). RNAcentral's name for it is "tRNA.Ala". Lineage: Eukaryota; Metazoa; Chordata; Mammalia; Rodentia; Sciuridae. The record is from RNAcentral.
GGGCUGGGGCUCAGUGGCAGAGCACUUGCCUAGCAUGCAUGAGGCACUGGGUUUGAUCCUCAACACCACA